AACGCACCUUGCGCCCCUUGGUAUUCCGAGGGGCAUGCCUGUUUGAGUGUCAUUAAAUUCUCAACCCCGGUUGACUUGUCGUUGACUUUCGGGGCUUGGACUUGGGGGCGUGCCGGCGAAAGCGGGCUCCCCUGAAAAGCAUCAGCGGAACUUUCAUCUUUGAACUUCUGGACGUCAGCGUGAUAAUGGUGUUGCGCUGUCCGCUUCCGGAGGUCGAAGCCCCGCUCACAAUGGUCUUCGGACAAUUUGUCAUCACAUUUUGACCUCAGAUCAGGUAGGACUACCCGCUGAACUUAA
This 297-nucleotide unclassified non-coding RNA is filed under the name uncultured fungus. RNAcentral's name for it is "partial contains 5.8S ribosomal RNA, internal transcribed spacer 2, and large subunit ribosomal RNA". The stretch from base 1 to 52 matches the Rfam family "5.8S ribosomal RNA", at positions 103 to 154 of the family's 154-position model. Lineage: Eukaryota; Fungi. The record is from RNAcentral.